AUUGAACGCUGGCGGCAUGCCUUACACAUGCAAGUCGAACGGCAGCACGGGAGCAAUCCUGGUGGCGAGUGGCGAACGGGUGAGUAAAGUAUCGGAACGUGCCCAGUCGUGGGGGAUAACGUAGCGAAAGUUACGCUAAUACCGCAUACGAUCUAUGGAUGAAAGCGGGGGAUCGCAAGACCUCGCGCGAUUGGAGCGGCCGAUAUCAGAUUAGGUAGUUGGUGGGGUAAAGGCUCACCAAGCCGACGAUCUGUAGCUGGUCUGAGAGGACGACCAGCCACACUGGGACUGAGACACGGCCCAGACUCCUGCGGGAGGCAGCAGUGGGGAAUUUUGGACAAUGGGCGAAAGCCUGAUCCAGCCAUGCCGCGUGCAGGAUGAAGGCCUUCGGGUUGUAAACUGCUUUUGUACGGAACGAAAAGGUUUGGGCUAAUAAGCUGAGCUCGUGACGGUACCGUAAGAAUAAGCACCGGCUAACUACGUGCCAGCCGCCGCAGUAA
This 500-nucleotide ribosomal RNA is filed under the name uncultured bacterium. RNAcentral's name for it is "partial 16S ribosomal RNA". It matches the Rfam family "Bacterial small subunit ribosomal RNA", at positions 30 to 523 of the family's 1533-position model. The record is from RNAcentral.